CCUACGGGAGGCAGCAGUGGGGAAUCUUGCGCAAUGGGCGAAAGCCUGACGCAGCGACGCCGCGUGGGGGAAGAAGGCCUUAGGGUUGUAAACCUCUUUCAGGUGGGACGAAGCCACUCGGGUUAAUAGCCCAGAGGGUGACGGUACCGCCAGAAGAAGCCCCGGCUAACUACGUGCCAGCAGCCGCGGUAAUACGUAGGGGGCAAGCGUUGUCCGGAUUUAUUGGGCGUAAAGAGCGUGUAGGCGGCUAGGUAGGUGGGUUGUGAAAACUGGAGGCUCAACCUUCAGACGUCGACCCAAACCCCCUGGCUAGAGUCCGGAAGAGGAGAGUGGAAUUCCUGGUGUAGCGGUGAAAUGCGCAGAUAUCAGGAAGAACACCCGUGGCGAAGGCGGCUCUCUGGGACGGUACUGACGCUGAGACGCGAAAGCGUGGGGAGCGAACAGGAUUAGAUACCCUGGUAGUCCACGCCGUAAACGAUGGGUGCUAGGUGUGGGGGGUGUCGACUCCCCCGUGCCGAAGCUAACGCAUUAAGCACCCGCCUGGGGAGUACGGCCGCAAGGCUAAAACGCAAUGAAUUGACGCUGAGACGUUGCGAGACGACGACGAGGGAGGAGG
Molecule: ribosomal RNA, 616 nt
Filed under: uncultured bacterium
Lineage: Bacteria
Description: bacterial SSU rRNA
Rfam family: Bacterial small subunit ribosomal RNA
Source: RNAcentral